CUGGCUGUGCCGGGUGAGAUUAAAAUAAUGCGAAUUCGACCUGUUACGAAAUUCUUCGGAAUUGGUGAAUCUGCAGUGCAGUGGUAUACAUUUUACCAUCCCUUCCAACAUGUAGUUUCGAAAUUUCCAGACUGCAUUUGACGAGCUACAUUCCUAGUACAGACCAUAAAGACGAGGCUCUCCUGGACCUCUCUUACAUCUGUUGCUGUGGAUAAGGUGGGAGUGGGGAUUGGUUUUGCCACAAGGACCUCAUCCUCCUUCUUGUGGUCUUCUCCAUGAGUCACAUUGUCCACCAGGCUACCCAGGACCUCUCCCCGAGUUUGACAGCGGGGCUUCAUCUGGAGCAUCUCCUCUGACCUCAUCUCAGGUUUGGCCUGUUUCUCUGACAGGCCACCUGCAACAUCAGCACUCAUCAGAGCCGUAGAGCCCAGAGGCUCAUGAGAAGGAACCGAUGGCUUGGGCUUGCUGGUCAGGAGCUGCUGGCCCUCCAUGGUUACCUUGAAAUGGAAGGAAAUUAUGACAUGAUUAUACCUCCACUGGAGACUGGUGAUGUUGACAUUGUGUAAUGCUCAGCUCUCUACAAACUCCCUGCUCGAUCUCAAGGAGUCUAUGACGGUUACAUAAUGCAGAGUCGUACACUCCUCUCUGAUUGGUUACUACAAGGGUGCUGCCUGACAGGGGUCGAGAUUGAUUGCUUCCUACAGCACAGUCCCUCCAACCCACCCCCUCCUUGGUGUGUACAUUGAAAUGUUCCACAAACGGUUCAAUCGGCCUUAAAGUUGAUGUUGACCGUAGAGCUAGCAGUUAUGACUGAUCUUUGAACUCUGCUGAUACAGCAUUGAAAUACUGUAUGUUGUUGUCUUCUAAAGUGAAAUCGGGGGGCCAGCCUACAUCACUCACCAUUUCACAGGAAACACUGGCUUGUUAUGGAUGCCACUUGUGUGCAUGAAAACUGUUGCCAGGUCCAGCAUUUAAAAAUGACACUGAUAAGCCUGAGACUAAAGUCAUCGUUAGUAACACAUGAUAUCUCAAUAGAAGGAC
Molecule: long non-coding RNA, 1041 nt
Organism: Esox lucius (northern pike)
Lineage: Eukaryota; Metazoa; Chordata; Actinopteri; Esociformes; Esocidae
Exons: 4
Source: RefSeq, a predicted model, not a curated record